Molecule: ribosomal RNA, 253 nt
Filed under: uncultured bacterium
Lineage: Bacteria
Description: partial 16S ribosomal RNA
Rfam family: Bacterial small subunit ribosomal RNA
Source: RNAcentral
UACGGGGGGGGCAAGCGUUGUUCGGAAUUACUGGGCGUAAAGGGCUCGUAGGCGGCCAACUAAGUCAGACGUGAAAUCCCCCGGCUUAACCGGGGAACUGCGUCUGAUACUGGAUGGCUUGAAUCCGGGAGAGGGAUGCGGAAUUCCAGGUGUAGCGGUGAAAUGCGUAGAUAUCUGGAGGAACACCGGUGGCGAAGGCGGCAUCCUGGACCGGCAUUGACGCUGAGGAGCGAAAGCCAGGGGAGCAAACGGG